CGCGUAGGCGGUCGACCAAGUCAGGGGUGAAAUCCUGCAGCUUAACUGUAGAAGUGCCUUUGAUACUGGUCGUCUGGAGGGAGAUAGGGGUGUGUGGAACUCACAGUGGAGCGGUGAAAUGCGUUGAUAUUGUGAGGAACGCCGGAGGCGAAAGCGACGCACUGGAUCUCUUCUGACGCUGAGGCGCGAAAGCUAGGGGAGCAAACGGGAUUAGAUACCCCGGUAGUCCUAGCCCUAAACGAUGAGUACUAGAUUGUAGACUAUCAUGGGUUUACAGUCGAAGCAAAAGUGUUAAGUACUCCGCCUGGGGAGUAUGGUCGCAAGGCUGAA
This 330-nucleotide ribosomal RNA is filed under the name uncultured bacterium. RNAcentral's name for it is "bacterial SSU rRNA". It matches the Rfam family "Bacterial small subunit ribosomal RNA", at positions 568 to 898 of the family's 1533-position model. The record is from RNAcentral.